UAUUUUGACUAUGCGAAGGUAUUGAAAUAAGGCUUUAAAUGAGUGCUAAGAGAAUGGUUUAACAAUUAUAAGCUUUCUUUAAUUAAAAAAUUAAAUUUAAUUUUUUUGUGAAGAAGCAAAAAUUUAAAUUAGGGACAAGAAGACCCUAUGAAUUUUAUAUUAAAUAAUAUAAUUUAAUGAAAUUAUAUUAUUUGAAUUAAUUGGGGUGAUUUAAAAAGAAUAUAUAUCUUUUUAAAAAGUUAAUUUGUUCCGUUUUUAACGAUUUUAUGAAAAAAAUA
RNAcentral lists this ribosomal RNA (278 nucleotides) under Ixodes canisuga. RNAcentral describes it as "partial large subunit ribosomal RNA". Lineage: Eukaryota; Metazoa; Arthropoda; Arachnida; Ixodida; Ixodidae. The record is from RNAcentral.